GGGGAUUUAGCUCAGUGGCAUAAGCACCUGCCUUGUAAGCAGGCAAUCAUGAGUUCGAUCCCCG
RNAcentral lists this transfer RNA (64 nucleotides) under Cavia porcellus (domestic guinea pig). It matches the Rfam family "tRNA", at positions 1 to 62 of the family's 71-position model. Rfam says of the family: Transfer RNA (tRNA) molecules are approximately 80 nucleotides in length. Their secondary structure includes four short double-helical elements and three loops (D, anti-codon, and T loops). The record is from Rfam by way of RNAcentral. Lineage: Eukaryota; Metazoa; Chordata; Mammalia; Rodentia; Caviidae.